Molecule: ribosomal RNA, 398 nt
Filed under: Leucosporidium creatinivorum
Lineage: Eukaryota; Fungi; Basidiomycota; Microbotryomycetes; Leucosporidiales; Leucosporidiaceae
Description: partial large subunit ribosomal RNA
Rfam family: Eukaryotic large subunit ribosomal RNA
Source: RNAcentral
AGUUGUAAUCUCGAGAAGUAUUUUCCGCGCCGGACCGCAUACAAGUCUGUUGGAAUACAGCGUCAUAGUGGUGAGAACCCCGUAACUGAUGCGGAUGCCCGGUGCUUUGUGAUAUACUUUCGAAGAGUCGAGUUGUUUGGGAAUGCAGCUCAAAUUGGGUGGUAAAUUCCAUCUAAAGCUAAAUAUUGGAGCAAGACCGAUAGCGAACAAGUACCGUGAGGGAAAGAUGAAAAGCACUUUGGAAAGAGAGUUAACAGUACGUGAAAUUGUUGGAAGGGAAACGCUUGAAGUCAGACUUGCUAUUCGGAGUUCAGCCGCAAGGUGUAUUCUUCGAUUUGCAGGCCAGCAUCAGUUUUUGGGGGUGGAAAAUCGUGGUUUGAAGGUAGCAGUUUCGGCUG